RNAcentral lists this ribosomal RNA (497 nucleotides) under uncultured bacterium. Its description in RNAcentral is "partial 16S ribosomal RNA". It matches the Rfam family "Bacterial small subunit ribosomal RNA", at positions 28 to 507 of the family's 1533-position model. The record is from RNAcentral.
GAUGAACGCUGGCGGCGUGCCUAAUACAUGCAAGUCGAGCGGACAGACGAGGAGCUUGCUCCUCUGACGUUAGCGGCGGACGGGUGAGUAACACGUGGAUAACCUACCUAUAAGACUGGGAUAACUUCGGGAAACCGGAGCUAAUACCGGAUAAUAUAUUGAACCGCAUGGUUCAAUAGUGAAAGACGGUUUUGCUGUCACUUAUAGAUGGAUCCGCGCCGCUUUAGCUAGUUGGUAAGGUAACGGCUUACCAAGGCAACGAUGCGUAGCCGACCUGAGAGGGUGAUCGGCCACACUGGAACUGAGACACGGUCCAGACUCCUACGGGAGGCAGCAGUAGGGAAUCUUCCGCAAUGGGCGAAAGCCUGACGGAGCAACGCCGCGUGAGUGAUGAAGGUCUUCGGAUCGUAAAACUCUGUUAUUAGGGAAGAACAAAUGUGUAAGUAACUAUGCACGUCUUGACGGUACCUAAUCAGAAAGCCACGGCUAACUACGUG